GUUUCCACAAGCCAGCUAUGCUCUACUGCUCAUUGCAUUUGACAUGCUUCAUGAUGAGUGAGGGACACAAUCUCUCCAACAGAGCCAUGCUAAGUGUGAACAAAUCAUCAUAAAAAGAAGCAGAUGUAUGCCUGGAUUCCUGGGGGCUGAGGAAGUAAUGAAUGGGCAGCCAGGAUAGAAAUGCUCUUAUUUCACUUAAGUGACGUCUUUUUAUGAUGUUUUAUCAAGGAUAAUGGAUCAAGGCAUGCAUCAAGGCAGGUGCUGAGAUCCACUUGUCU
Long non-coding RNA from Prionailurus viverrinus (fishing cat), 278 nucleotides. RefSeq lists it as uncharacterized. Lineage: Eukaryota; Metazoa; Chordata; Mammalia; Carnivora; Felidae. The record is from RefSeq and is a predicted model, not a curated record. The transcript has 3 exons.